Molecule: ribosomal RNA, 401 nt
Filed under: soil bacterium 2V-15
Lineage: Bacteria
Description: bacterial SSU rRNA
Rfam family: Bacterial small subunit ribosomal RNA
Source: RNAcentral
UCAGAACGAACGCUGGCGGCAGGCUUAACACAUGCAAGUCGAGCGCCCCGCAAGGGGAGCGGCAGACGGGUGAGUAACGCGUGGGAAUCUACCCAUCUCUACGGAACAACUCCGGGAAACUGGAGCUAAUACCGUAUACGUCCUUUUGGAGAAAGAUUUAUCGGAGAUGGAUGAGCCCGCGUUGGAUUAGCUAGUUGGUGGGGUAAUGGCCUACCAAGGCGACGAUCCAUAGCUGGUCUGAGAGGAUGAUCAGCCACACUGGGACUGAGACACGGCCCAGACUCCUACGGGAGGCAGCAGUGGGGAAUAUUGGACAAUGGGCGAAAGCCUGAUCCAGCCAUGCCGCGUGAGUGAUGAAGGCCCUAGGGUUGUAAAGCUCUUCAACGGUGAAGAUAAUGACG